GAGCGUGGAGGAGAUGCGCUCACUUGGAUGCCAAGGAGGACAGGCAGCGCCCUCUGAAGGAAUUUGUCAACUGGACUGAGAGACAAUCAAAACAGUCAGACACGGAACAUGCUGAGCGCCACGCUGCUGCCGGGGAAUUCUCUUCUGAAGCUUGGGUGACGCUCCUGCCCGCCUCACAGGCACACAGCUGAACCUCCUGUGCGUGCAUCACCUGAACGGUCACAGCUCGACCCAAGUCUGCUCUUAAAUUCCACCACCUGUGAAACAGCCAGCGAGCAGCCUGGCCCAGCACUCCCCACUCCCAAAAGACAGGACCCUAUGGGGGAAGAAACUGCUGCCCAAAUCUUCUGAAUGUCGCUUACAAACUCCUUUUUCUGCUAAAACCUUCCAUUCUGUGACAGCACAGAGAGGAUGAUGCAGACUGCAGCUGGGAAGCUGCUUCCUACUCCUCCAGGCCCCUGCUGGGUCACCCUAGAGCUGCCAAGGCCAGCAACUGAGGAGGAGGAGGGCAGGCAGGCAGGGCUCCUUCCAGCCACUCCAGCUUCUCCAGCAGUUUAGCGCAUGCUGGAAGGUGCUGGCGCUGAUCCGCCCCUGGCAGUGCUGGUGAGAGAGGCAAGUUACUCCUCGCAGAUCUGUGUCUCCAGCUCGGUGCGCGUCUCCCUACGGACAUGGAAGAGUGCGGGUCCCCUGAGGAGCAGGGAGGCGAGGGGCCCUGCAGAGCAGCCACCUUCUGCUGAGAAGGAGCCUGGACUCACUGGCACAGUGCAGCCAGAGGGGGCUUCGGUGGGCACCGAGGCUGGGGAGUCGGGCUCACCAAUGCGCAGAAUGCUGUCGCUGUUCUCACUACGGCACCUCCUGCAUUUUCACUCAUUGUGGGGAAGGGAUGUUCACACUGCCUUGGUUUACCGGACUGCCACGUGAAACUCCACUAUCUGCUAAAGUAAGCUAAGAGCAGAGCAGAGAAAAUCAACAGCAGCACACGCCGCCUGCAUCCCAUGCGCACCUCCGGCCACGGCCAUUGCUCACCUCUGAAGACAAUGCUGCAUUUAUGUUGGAUUCAAUAACACAAAUGGAGCGUUCACAGGGCAAGGAGACCCACCCCAGGGCUCCUGAGGGCUUCCUAAUGAGGAUCCUGGGAGCCGGGUGGGUGGGGAUGAGGCCCAAGCUGUCCCAGGCCCGGCCCCACACACCAGCUGCAGAGAUGAGAACCACAAUCGCAUUCACGCAUUCGUGCGCCUACGGCUGUGUCAGACGUGACUUGUGCUAUUUCUGUAUCAAAAACCAUUCAAAAUGCCACGAGUUCCCAACAGAAGCUGCUAGUGCUUUUGACCCAAAGCACCCUGAAGAAAACAAUAAAACCUUCUCUCCUUAAAGAAUGCAGCAUCAAAACAAAAAAGUCUGUAUUCUCAUGAAUAUUCUACGGUACAGCAGAAAACGGCUUUUAUAGGUUGUGCCUUGAGAAACAUAUUAAGACAAUCAGACUCCUGACGUCAGUGAGAGCACAAAGGCCGCAUUCAGAGUCCAAUGGGAGACGGUCAGUGUGCUGUGAAUGAAUUCUCAAUCACAAACAGAAAAACCUGUUAGUCUCUCUCUCUCGCUCUUUUAAAAUAAAUGUUCAUAAAGAAGCAUACUGAUUUUCCACGACAUGCUUAGGUCCUCUUCUCAGGACGCGAUUUCAUGCCAUCAUACAGAUAUGGAAGAAAAAGAGGCACUAUUCUUUAGGUAACACAGUCAAUGUUUAGGGUCUCUUCAAGUAAAGAAUGACUCAUUCAAAUCAAGGGAAAAAUAAUAGAUAUUUCAACUAUGUAACCAUGAUUUCCUCUUACACUGAUAUUUUGCCUCUAUGUGGGGGUGGGGGGAAGAGAGAGGAUGGGACAGAAGAGGAGGGAGACAGCACAUCAGAAAUGCAUGACUUAGCUACAAUGUCCUUCACCCUUUAUUUAUUGUGCAGUGUGCCAUCCAUGCUGAAGAACAAGUAUGUUUAGUAAAAGAACAGUAAUGAAACCAGCACCAGUGCAUCCUCCGCUUCAAUGAGGCCCAAACGUCACCCUCUGCGUCCCUUCAAACCACAUGCACCCCCUACCCCGUGAGCAACAUCCUGACCUUGUUAAGUGUCCUCUUGCUUUGCUAUGAUAAUAACAUCUGCAUAUAUGUGGCCCUGAAAACACGUCCUUUGCUUUCUGAAGACUGAAGGCAGCAACACCAGUGCAGUGGAAGGAGGAGUUGACGAUGGUUCCCGGGACAGGACAGUCUCGAGUCCGAGUCUGCCGUCAGCUUCUGGGACAGGGGACCAGAGCUUCUUCUGGGGUGAAGCCACGGGUGACCCCCAGGAAACCAAGUACACCCCGUCUAACAUCUGGCAGGGCAGUCAUGUGGACCAGAACCAGGUGCCAGAAGGUGUGGUCUGGGGGGUGAGCUGCCCUCCAUGGUGGCCACCUCCAGCUCUCAGGUGGGAACUGGGCAGAAGACCCCCUUGGAGAAAUGAGUGACCUCGGGGAAUCGAGGCAGUGGGGCAAGGAAGAGAGAGUGGGGCCAUGUGGUCAACAGAGGUCAGGCACAGACAAGCGGCUGAGUGUUGCAUCCUCAGGUUUAGGCAGCGAGGCAGGCAGUCUGGUGAGGCCGGCCCAGACGCUGCCUCCGAAGCUGUGCCACUCACCCCGGGCAGGCGCUCCCUCUGUCUGCACUGCUGCUGGCCUGGACGGGUCCAACUCCUCCAGGGGAUUCCCUCUGUCUCUGCCCUACCUUAAGUCUCCCGCUUCCUUUGUCCCAGCCAUCGUCUUCCUUGGUUUAUUUUCUCACUCUGCAGAACUCAGGCUCCAGCUGUGUCUUAAAAAGGGAGGCAUGAGAGUAAGUUCUGCACAUCUGAAAACGUGUCGAUUCUCCCCUUCACGCGUCCUGACUUUGGCUGGGUAUAGAAUUCCAGCUUGAAGACCAUCCUUCGCCUUCGGGAUUCUGAAGGCGCAACUCUGUUGUCUUCCUCUCCCAGUACUGUCAGGAAAAUGGGCGCCACGUGAUGCUGCACCUUGAGUGUGACUCGAUGUCUCUCUCCGGGUAUCUAUAAGGUCUUCUCCAGGCCCCCAGCGUUCCGAAAUUUCGAAGCCGUGUGGUUUGGUGAAGACCUUUCACACCCACUGCUGGGCGCCUGGCUGGUCCUUUGGAGACGGCAGCUCCCGUGCUCCCAUCGUAGGGGGCUCCCUGAAGCACUUCAUCAAGGGUUCCCCUUUCCCAUUCUCUCCUUCUGGAACUUCUACCCCUUGAGUAGGAGAUCUCCCAGAACAAUACUGGGUCUUUUCCAUCCUCCCUGUUUUCCUUGUCUUUGUCUUACACGCUUCUUCAUGUGUGAUUUCCUUAA
This is a long non-coding RNA of Homo sapiens (human), 3352 nucleotides long. NCBI's taxonomy places the organism in Eukaryota, Metazoa, Chordata, Mammalia, Primates, Hominidae. The record is from Ensembl.